UGGAUCAGUAAUGAGAAGAUGACUCACGGC
Molecule: non-coding RNA, 30 nt
Filed under: Rattus norvegicus (Norway rat)
Lineage: Eukaryota; Metazoa; Chordata; Mammalia; Rodentia; Muridae
Source: RNAcentral